CACGUAGGGCGCAAGCGUUGUCCGGAAUUAUUGGGCGUAAAGAGCUCGUAGGCGGUCUGUUGCGUCUGCUGUGAAAACCCGGGGCUUAACCCCUGGCUUGCAGUGGAUACGGACAGACUAGAGGUAGGUAGGGGAGAAUGGAAUUCCCGGUGUAGCGGUGAAAUGCGCAGAUAUCAGGAGGAACACCGGUGGCGAAGGCGGGUCUCUGGGCCGUAACUGACGCUGAGGAGCGAAAGCAUGGGGAGCGAACAGG
This 253-nucleotide ribosomal RNA is filed under the name uncultured bacterium. RNAcentral's name for it is "partial 16S ribosomal RNA". It matches the Rfam family "Bacterial small subunit ribosomal RNA", at positions 524 to 776 of the family's 1533-position model. The record is from RNAcentral.